UUUCAGAUUAGGAUUCACAAAUGAUUAAAUUAUGAAAUUAUAAACUGAUCUGAUUGUUCUUCUGUAAUGGUGAAACUGAAUCAUGUAUUUCACAUGACAGCUCCAGAUUCAUCGAUUAACAAUUACCAGCUUCAGUACUCAGUUAAUGUUCUCACUGUUUAGAACUGAAUAAUUAGUUUUGAGGACACCCAUUUAAGCUCUCCAAUGGGAUUGUUGCUUUUUUGUAUAUUUUGUAUGUGUUUUUUCUUUUUUUGAAUACUAGGAGGUUCUAGGCAAAAGCCCGUAAUCCCUCCAGAUCAGAAACCACAACAUAUAAUAUUAGUUUCAUCCCAAGUGUCACUCGAAUUGGCGACCUCUAAGCUUCGCCUAGGAUCUUUACCAAUUGAGCUAACGACACUUGAUUAUUUUUGUAUGUGUUUUAUUAUGUAAUUAAUAAACUGAUAUCUAUUUUAUAUAGUU
RNAcentral lists this small RNA (459 nucleotides) under Arabidopsis thaliana (thale cress). RNAcentral describes it as "ATSL277980". The record is from RNAcentral. Lineage: Eukaryota; Viridiplantae; Streptophyta; Magnoliopsida; Brassicales; Brassicaceae.